CCGGAUACGUCCUUCGGGGGAAAGUUCACGCCGAGAGAGGGGCCCGCGUCGGAUUAGGUAGUUGGUGUGGUAACGGCGCACCAAGCCGACGAUCCGUAGCUGGUCUGAGAGGAUGAUCAGCCACACUGGGACUGAGACACGGCCCAGACUCCUACGGGAGGCAGCAGUGGGGAAUAUUGGACAAUGGGCGCAAGCCUGAUCCAGCAAUGCCGCGUGAGUGAUGAAGGCCUUAGGGUUGUAAAGCUCUUUCGCACGCGACGAUGAUGACGGUAGCGUGAGAAGAAGCCCCGGCUAACUUCGUGCCAGCAGCCGCGGUAAUACGAAGGGGGCUAGCGUUGUUCGGAAUUACUG
RNAcentral lists this ribosomal RNA (351 nucleotides) under Azospirillum sp. RNAcentral describes it as "bacterial SSU rRNA". It matches the Rfam family "Bacterial small subunit ribosomal RNA", at positions 169 to 556 of the family's 1533-position model. Lineage: Bacteria; Pseudomonadati; Pseudomonadota; Alphaproteobacteria; Rhodospirillales; Azospirillaceae. The record is from RNAcentral.